CCAGGGUUGUAGAUGCUCUUCUUGAAGAAUUACUAAUGAUUGCCCAUUUUGCACCAUAACUUGCUAACUUUCCACUGCUUAAUUAACAUCAUUAGUUAGACAUUAGGAAAACUAAUUAAAACAGUAAGGAACCACUGAAAGGUGUGUAUAUACAAGCUUAAUCACCAAAAUAUCAAAGCUAAGAGAUGAAAACUUACACGUCGAAAUGGCACCAGGAUAAGGUUGUUUCCCAUCAUGAAGCACUCCAAACUGAUCAAGAAACCAUGCCUGAAGACAAUUUUGGAAACUCUUCGGGAAUUCCAAUAAUAUUUAAAUCAUACAAAACAAUUAUAACCACUUUACAUCCCGACCUUUUAUAAUGUAUGACACAACGGCAAAUCUCAGCGUUCAACUGAGUUUAGAUAAAUCCGAUAUUUUUGAAACGACGGUGGACAAACCCCGUAGUCAUAAUGUGUUUACAAUAGGACUUUCACAUGUUAAAGUAUUUUCCUUCCAUCUCCAUUUGAUUUUUUUUCUCCUCGCCGCAAGAAUAAAAUUCUCCGGCUUGGAUGGGUUACCUUGGGCGAAGUGCAGCAGUAGUCACUUU
This 586-nucleotide long non-coding RNA is filed under the name Nicotiana tabacum (common tobacco). Its description in RNAcentral is "long non-coding RNA (NTAB_LNC007687)". Lineage: Eukaryota; Viridiplantae; Streptophyta; Magnoliopsida; Solanales; Solanaceae. The record is from RNAcentral.